Molecule: non-coding RNA, 1584 nt
Organism: Ctenopharyngodon idella (grass carp)
Lineage: Eukaryota; Metazoa; Chordata; Actinopteri; Cypriniformes; Xenocyprididae
Source: the annotation of a RefSeq genome assembly
UUCAACCCUCAUGCAGAAACACUACAGAUGGUUGCUACACCAUAGACAAUUAUAUUUUAAAAAGAGUAAGAUUUAGGGCUAAAAAAAAAAAAAAAAAAAAUUAAAAAUGAGGAAAAAUAUUUAGCUUAUUGGACUACUAGACAGAAAAAAUAUAUAGCAUAUUGAACUAGAUAUUCCACCAUUAUUAAUGGCAUACAAUGGGGUACAAUUAGGCCUUCCUUAAAAUCCAAGAAUGUGCUUAAUUAUCUUUGAAGCAAGCCCAAAUGGUGAUAGUAUUGUUGUUGUAAAAAAUAAUAUGAGAAUAAAACGAGAAACUACAGUGAGGCAGUAAGGGAAGUCUGUAUGUUAAUGACUCCUCCCAGGUUUUGUGUUUAGUAUUUGUAUAGUGAUGGAAGCAAUAACAAGACCUUCCAUAGGUGUUUAAAGGUCUAGUUAAUAUCUCUUUUAUUUUGCAUGCAUUUAACUCUGCAAUGAUGACAAUGUGCUACAUUAAUACACUUUUUGUUACAGCAUUUAUCCUAGGAUGCACAGCACAGGACAAUGUAAUACAGUCCGAACCAGUUAUGACCGCUUUUGAAGAUGGAACAGCCACUCUUGACUGCACUUAUAAAGCAACCAGCACUCAGUAUCCAAAUCUCCUCUGGUACCAACAGAAGACAAAUGGAUCACCAAAAUACAUGCUCAUAAGUCUUUCUGGAUCGAGCAACAAUGAUGAAGAGUUCAAGGUGAGAUUUAAUGCAGUUCUCAACACAUCUGCAUCAACAGUCCCUCUGACAAUCAAGGAUCUGCGUGUGUCUGACUCUGCUGUGUACUACUGUGCCCUGAAGCCCACAAUGUGACGGCUGAGGACAAAAUUGAGCCAAACCGAGGGACCAAAGUCAUCAAAACAGAAGGAGAGUCUGUAACACUGAGCUGCUCAUAUGAUUCAGACAGUGAAUAUGUACGUCUUUACUGGUACAGACAAUAUCCCAAUGAAGAACCUCAAUAUUUAUUACGUGAAGGAGCUCGAUCGAACUCUGCUAAGGACAGCUCUGAUCCUCGAUUUCAGUCAAGUACUUCUCGAGUAUCGACUGAACUCAUUAUUAGCAGUGUGACUGUGUCAGAUUCAGCUCUCUAUUAUUGUGCUCUAAGAGUUGAAGCCCAGUGAUACAAAACAUGAAACACGUCGUACAAAAUGUAUUUUCACGUCGUACAGUAUGUAUUUUUGAAAUUGAAUAAAUCAUAAUGAAAGUAACACAGUCAUAUGAACAUUAUAAACUUCAGAAGUUUAUGAACAUAUGAACUUUAUGAACAUGAACUUGCAAUCAAUACAUUUUGAUCACAAGUAAAAUUGUUUUGCUAUAAACAACAGUACAAUAGAUUGUGAGAUGAUUUUUGCUGGAAACAUAAAUAUGUUUCAUAAUUUAGUUUUAAAGCUUACUGUGACAAACUGUCUGACACCAAAAUAUGACUAAAGUUUAUUUGAACUUAUAUUAUUACAAAAUCCACUAUGUACUUAUUUAUUACCAAUUAAAUGCUCUGUAUCUUAACACUGAUCGACAGAUACAUUUGUUUGAAAUAAUAGUAGCAGUAAUGAGCCAGACC